GGACGUACCACGCCGUAAACGAUGUCGACUUGGAGGUUGUGCCCUUGAGGCGUGGCUUCCGGAGCUAACGCGUUAAGUCGACCGCCUGGGGAGUACGGCCGCAAGGUUAAAACUCAAAUGAAUUGACGGGGGCCCGCACAAGCGGUGGAGCAUGUGGUUUAAUUCGAUGCAACGCGAAGAACCUUACCUACUCUUGACAUCCAGAGAACUUUCCAGAGAUGGAUUGGUGCCUUCGGGAACUCUGAGACAGGUGCUGCAUGGCUGUCGUCAGCUCGUGUUGUGAAAUGUUGGGUUAAGUCCCGCAACGAGCGCAACCCUUAUCCUUUGUUGCCAGCGGUUCGGCCGGGAACUCAAAGGAGACUGCCAGUGAUAAACUGGAGGAAGGUGGGGAUGACGUCAAGUCAUCAUGGCCCUUACGAGUAGGGCUACACACGUGCUACAAUGGCGCAUACAAAGAGAAGCGACCUCGCGAGAGCAAGCGGACCUCAUAAAGUGCGUCGUAGUCCGGAUUGGAGUCUGCAACUCGACUCCAUGAAGUCGGAAUCGCUAGUAAUCGUGGAUCAGAAUGCCACGGUGAAUACGUUCCCGGGCCUUGUACACACCGCCCGUCACACCAUGGGAGUGGGUUGCAAAAGAAGUAGGUAGCUUAACCUUCGGGAGGGCGCUUACCACUUUGUGAUUCAUGACUGGGGUGAAGUCGUAACAAGUUAACCGUAA
This 717-nucleotide ribosomal RNA is filed under the name Enterobacter cloacae. Its description in RNAcentral is "bacterial SSU rRNA". It matches the Rfam family "Bacterial small subunit ribosomal RNA", at positions 788 to 1505 of the family's 1533-position model. The record is from RNAcentral. Lineage: Bacteria; Pseudomonadati; Pseudomonadota; Gammaproteobacteria; Enterobacterales; Enterobacteriaceae.